GAUGAACGCUGGCGGCGUGCCUAAUACAUGCAAGUCGAGCGAACAGAUGAAGAGCUUGCUCCGCUGUAGUUAGCAGCGGACGAGUAAGUCACACGUGGAUAACCUACCUCUAAGACUGGGACCACUUCGGGAGACCGGAGCAACUACCGGAUAAUCUUUUGAACUGCAUGGUUCAGUAGUGAAAGAUGGUUUUUGUGUCAGUUUUCGAUGGAUCCGCGGCUCAUUAGCUUGUUGGUGGGGUAACGGCUCACCAAGGCGCCGACGGGUAGCCGGCCUGAGAGGGUGACCGGCGACACUGGGACUGAGACACGGCACAGACUCCUACGGGAGGCAGCAGUGGGGAAUAUUGCACAAUGGGCGAAAGUCUGAUGCAGCGACGCCGCGUGAGGGAUGACGGCCUUCGGGUUGUAAACCUCUUUCAGUAGGGAAGAAGCGAAAGUGACGGUACCUGCAGAAGAAGCACCGGCUAACUACGUG
RNAcentral lists this ribosomal RNA (477 nucleotides) under uncultured bacterium. RNAcentral describes it as "partial 16S ribosomal RNA". It matches the Rfam family "Bacterial small subunit ribosomal RNA", at positions 28 to 507 of the family's 1533-position model. The record is from RNAcentral.